This is a long non-coding RNA of Corapipo altera (White-ruffed manakin), 494 nucleotides long. RefSeq lists it as uncharacterized. The record is from RefSeq and is a predicted model, not a curated record. NCBI's taxonomy places the organism in Eukaryota, Metazoa, Chordata, Aves, Passeriformes, Pipridae. The transcript is spliced from 3 exons.
GGUGCUUUUUCCAAGAGAAAAGUUGUCCAGAAGGUUGGUGGGAAUUUUAUCAUGUAGGUUUAGGAAUGACCAGAUUUUCUAGGAAUAGCUUGGUAGGAAUUGUAUAAUUUGGGUUUAAGGAUUGACCAGGAUUUCAAGGAAUGGUUUGAUGCGAAUGGUGUCAUUUGGGUUUAGGAAUGACCAGGACUUCUAGGAAUGGUUUGAUGGGAAUUGUAUCAUUUGGGUUUAGGAAUGACCAGGAUUUCUAGGAAUAGUUUGAUUGGAAUUGUAUCAUUUGGGUUUAGGAAUGACCAGGAUUUCUAGGAAUAGCUUGGUGGGAUUUGUAUCAUUUGGGUUUAGGAAUGACCAGGAAUUCAAGGAAUGGUUUGAUGGGAAUUGUAUCAUUUGGGUUUAGGAAUGACCAGGAUUUCUAGGAAUAGACUGGGGGGAUUUGGGUGUUUUUCCAAGAGAAGACUUCUCCAGAAGGUUGGUGGGAAUUGUAUCAGUUGGGUUUA